UCAAAGAAAACUAGGUGCCGCUACAAGUUACCGGUUCUUUCAAGCACCCGCAGUUGGUACAUCAGGCACAAUAUUUAGAUUAGUAACUCACCUCGAAGUUAUCCGCAAUAUAAGAUUAAUGUUCAUAAGAACCUCUUCCAACUAAUGAAUGUCUGCCUUGAAAUUUAGGUUUUCUUUUGAAAUAGAUUGUUUGCUUUUAUUGCCUGUCUUUGUCUCAUUUGACAUUCUCUUGGUUGUCUAGGUUGGUUCCGUUGCUGUGUUUGUAACGAGAUAUAGAGGUAUGAUCAGAGAUGCCAAACAAGAUCUGCAACACAGCACAAGUUAUUUCCACAAACCCAAUACGAUUCUAAGUUUUUCGCUACUCUAUGUUUGAGAACCUAAAACCAUAUAAUUAACUAUAAAAAAACCCGUCUCAUACAUACCAAAUGCAGUCCCUAGAGUUAGAUGCCUUCGUAAGUCUAGAAUUAUUCAAGUUUCUGCCAUAUUACUGCUUGAUACAAUGAUUUCCUUGAAGACAAUCGUAGUAUCUAGUAAUCCUCCAGCCUACUUUCUUAGUGCAUCAAGUUCUUUUGCUCUUAUUUUUCCGAGCUCAGUUGUAAUGAAUGUUGAUCAUGCAGGUUAUUAGGCUAAUGUCAAGAGGCGUCGAUAAUUGUGGUUAUGUAAGUCUCAACUAUAAUGCCUUCUUGUACGUGUACUUGUAGUAUACCCAUAUAUAAAGUAAUGGUUGUGUAUCAUAAGAAUCUCCUUAUACUUCAUUAAUACAGACAUUUACAGUUUUACUUCCGAGAUUGUUUAACAUCUUAACUUACAAUUUCAGAUAGGAGGCUUGAUUUUAGGAGCAGCAGUUUACUGGUCUGUAUGACCUCCAUGGAAGUAUGAAUCUAUGGUCAGCAAUGGCCAAAGAAUAUUCGAAGACUGAAAACCAUUUUUUACCUUACUGACAGAAAGCUGAAACCUCGAUGAAUCAGUGUAAGUAUUGACAAUUGUGACACAGGCUCUGAUUUAAAUUGGUUGCAGCUAUCCUAUAAGCAAAGUAUAGCAAGGGGUUUGCAAGGUAGAAGUGAAUUCUAAUCGAACCAGUAAUUUACCAGAAAAUAAUCGAAGGGAUGUAACACCCCGAACCCGAGACCGACACCGGAGUCGAACACGAGAUGUUAACAGACUUUAAACCCUUUAUAAAAAUAUUUCUCAGACACUGCCAAUCUGCGUACUAGUCGCUUUAAAAAUCAUAUCUUGAGUUUCACAACUCGAAAAUAAGUUUCGUGAUUUUUCCCUGAAACUAGACUCAUAUGCCCAUCUACAUAUUUUUUUCUAGAAUUUUUGGUCUGGCCAAUUAGUACAGUUUAUUAGUCAAAGUCUCCCAUGUUACAGGGAUCGACUACACUGACCUUUGCGCAUUACGACCUGGAUAUCUCCCUGCACAGAGCUUCAAUACUGAUGCUGUUUGUUUCUAUAGAAACUAGACUCAGAGAGGAAUCUAUCCAUAUAUGGUAUGACUCCUAAUUGUCUCUGGUUAAUUUAUAAUCAAUUUCCAAAGUCGGAACAGGGAAUCCAGAAACCGUUCUGGCCCUGUCUCACGAGAACCUGAAUAUCUCUUAACAUACUGUCCAUAUGAUCUUUUUGUUGCUUCUAUAUGAAAAUAGACUCAUCGAGCUUCGAAUACAUAAUUUAUUCAUCAAUUUAUUCCACUCCUACUAUUUUUAGUGUUUUUUCAAUCUCACGUCACUGCUGCUGCCAGCAUAUGUUAGGAAAGCAACUAUGCCCAUUUCGUGAUUUCUCCUUGAUCUAACUAGUAAUUCGUCAUACAUAUCACAAAUUAUGAUCAUGACUAGCCAUGCCAAAGGCUAAUCAUUGUCAAACAUCCCCCUACUACACUAUUGCCAUAUCAUGAAUUUUAACACCAAAAUAAUCAACCAUGACAUAUGGCAUAAAAAGGUCGAAUUAUCAAGAUUUACGACCUAACGUUAUGAAACCAAACCCAACCGAACAUUUAUGCCAUUUUCGCAUGGCUAAAAGUUUACAUACCAAAGUUCAAACACAACAUAAUAGCCUAUACAUGCUGAAAUGUUCUCCUAAGCCGACUAAGAAGAAAGUACCAAAACUUGCUAGCCGGUGUGAUGACUUCGACGACGGCAUGAUCACGCAAAAAGAGACGAGUCCAAGAAACCUAGAAUAGGUGACAAGCAAACACCGAAUGAGUAUAUAACUCAGUAAGCCAUAAGCAUUCCACAACCAUCCAUUAAUAAAAUUAUCACAACAGGAAACAAUGAAAUGAGGUUAAGUACUCCAUCCAUACCAAACUAUACCAUAGUUCCUUAAACCCUAUGGUUCAAUCUCAUACCAAGUCCUACAUUGGCCUUUCAUACAUCAUUUUAUUUUCGUUAUAAUCAUACAAUUAAACGAACUUUCACCUAUUCCACAAUGAACCUUAUGUACGUGACUUCAACUAUAAUCGUCACAUAGGUUCAAAACUUACCAAGCUCAACUCCAAAUAUAAACAUAGCGCCUAUUAGCCAUGAACUCAAGGUACUUACCUUUUCCGCUGUCCAAAAUUGACUCGGUAAAGUCGCACCCUUCAUGUAAAUAAUUUAUAGAAAAUAUAUAUUGGGUUCACACACAUAGUGCUUAAUAAUCAACCGCGCACACUUAGUGCCAUGUACUUUAGACUCACACACUUAGUGCCAUGCAUUUCAAGUUCGCACACUUACCUUUUCCGCUGUCCAAAAUCGACUCGGUAAGGUCGCACCCUUAAUGUAAAUAAUUUAUAGAAAAUAUAUAUUGGGUUCGCACACAUAGUGCUUAAUAAUCAACCACGCACACUUAGUGCCAUGUACUUUAAACUCGCACACUUAGUGCUGUACAAUUUAAACCCGCACACUUAGUGCCAAUCUCAUGACCGUGAACACUUAUUGCCCGCACACUUAGUGCCGAAAACCAGCCACUCAAUAGGCUUCACUUCCUUUUUACAUUCGACAAAUUUCAUCUCUACUUACAUAUAAUUUGUAUACAUUUCAUCUCAUUAAACACAAUGGUAUAGGUAUUACGAUCCUUUAAAUCAAUACCAAAGAUAUGCUUAAUGACUUACUUGUGUUGGGUAAGAUGGUUCCAACUCGGCUACUCGAUGAUCUUUUCUUUGCCUUUGCUCGAUUCUCCUCCUUUAACUCCUUGAGCUUAAUCAAUAAAUCAACUAGUUUAACCGCCUUGCUAAAUAUUUACAAUCCAAUGACACAUGCAUAUGUAUGUUAGUAUAUUCGGCAAUCACCCUUACUAAUCACCCACUUGAUCAAUUAUGGAGAAUAAAAGUUAAUAUCACAAUGUGUACCCUAUAUGGCCCAUUAUACAUAAUCAAAUUUAACAUCAUCUAUAUAUUUACUCAUAUGGCCGAAUAUACCUAAUCAUACAUACACCUAAGCAAAAAUAAUUUCUAAAAUCUUUAUAUCAUUUAUACACUAGUAAAACAUCCUCUCCCUUUCCAUCAAUUUAGCACAUGCAUUACUCAUUAACCUACAAAAAUUAUAUUCGGCCUUAGCACACAACUUGCUAGCCGAUUCUUCCCCAUCUAGCAACCAAUGCACAUAUGUGCUCACUCAAAAAUGCUAAAAAAAAGAGAUUCAAGAAUCAUCAAUCCACCAUCACAUGCAUCAUUAGCAAGCUUCAUAUUUAGCAUGCAAUGGCAUUAACACAAACUCCACCUAGGCCGAAUCUUAACUCAUCUUCAUGCCUCAUCACCACAACAUCAAACAUCAAAAUACCAACCAAGAAUGUAACAUGCAUGGCCGAAUAUCAUCUCCAUCAUUUAACAAAGUUUGAACCAUGGCUAGGUAGCUUUCAAACUUACAACUUAAAAUAUACAUGAAUCUCAAAGAAUAAUAUCAAACAUACCUCAAUCUAGUUACAUGCAUGGCCAAACUUCCUCUUAAUUCUCUUCCAAACCAAACAUGAAGCAAGAACUCCUUCCUCCUCCCUUAGAAUUUUCGGUCAAAAGAGGAUGAAAAAGGAUGAACAAGUUUUUUCUUUUCCUUUCUUUAGCUCACGGCAAUGGGGGGGGGGGGAAACAACCACUCAUUUUUUUGUUUUUCCUUUCUUUAUUACCCAUACUCCUUAUUUUAUUUUUUUCCUACAUACCUCACUAGGCCAACAUGUUCCCAACAUGUUUCCACCCAUAGCAUGGCCAACCACUAGCUCAAAUUUUGGGUAAUUUGACAUGCAAACCCAUCAUUUUCACAACAUGCAUUAAUAGACCAUUUUAAAUUAGCCUAUCAUAUUUUCACCAUGUCUCAUAUCGAUCCCUAUUUAAUAAUUUCUCAUACAAUUGGCAAAAUUGGAGAAUGAAACUUCCACAUACUCAUGUACACACAUAAUAAGCAUAGAAUAUGGAAAUUAAUUAUUUUUAUGACUCGGUUUUGUGGUCCCGAAACCACUUCCCGACUAGGGUCAAUUUUGGGCUGUUACAACUCUCCCCCACUUAAGAAAUUUUCGUCCCCGAAAAUCUUACCGGUAAAUAGGUUUGGGUAUCGUUCUUUCAUCGAGCUCUCGGUUUCCCAAGUAGCUUCCUCGAUCCCAUGUUUGAGCCAUAACACCUUCACUAACGGAACCAUUUUGUUUCACAACUCCUUCACUUCACGAGCUAGGAUACGUAUCGGUUCUUCUUCAUAACUCAUAUCGGCUUGAAUUUCAACCUCUGAUGGGCUAAUUAUAUGCGAUGGAUCAGAUCGAUAGCGUCGAAGCAUCGAAACAUGAAAGACGUCGUGAAUCUUUUCAAGCUUAGGGGGCAAAAUCAAUCUAUACGCAACCGGACCAACUCGUUCGGAGAUUUCGUACGGCCCAAUGAAUCUCGGGCUCAACUUGCCCUUACGGCCAAACCUGAGUACCUUUUUCCAAGGCAAAACUUUAAGGAACACUUUAUCUCCCACCUGAUAUUCAAUGUCCUUUCGUUUCAAGUCCGCAUACGAUUUCUGACGAUCUGUGGCUGCCUUCAGACUUUCACGGAUUACCUUUACUUUCUGUUCGGCAUCUUUAAUCAAAUCAACUCCGAAAAUUUUACUUUCACCGAGCUCGAUCCAAAACAAUGGUGUACGGCAUUUACGACCGUACAAAGCCUCGUAAGGUGCCAUCUUAAUACUUGAUUGAAAACUAUUGUUGUAAGCGAAUUCAAUCAAAGGUACAUACCGUUCCCAUGAACCACUAAACUCAACGAUGCAGCAUCUCAGCAUAUCCUCGAGUAUCUGAAUUAUCCGCUCGGAUUGACCAUCGGUUUGGGGAUGAAAAGCGGUGCUAAAAUGCAGCUUGGUACCCAAAGCUUCUUGCAAUUUCUUCCAAAAUCGCGAGGUGAAUCUCGGAUCUCUAUCCGACACGAUAGAAAUAGGUACUCCAUGUAAUCUCACAAUCUGAGAAACAUACAAUUCAGCUAGUUUAUCCAAUGAAAAAUCCGUACGCACGGGGAUAAAGUGAGCCGACUUAGUCAGUCUAUCAACAACAACCCAAAUCGCAUCCUUCUUACUUGUUGACAAUGGUAGUCCAAACACAAAGUCCAUUGUGACUCGAUCCCAUUUCCACUCGGGUAUCAUGAUCGGCUGAAGUAAUCCUGAAGGCACUUGAUGUUUCGCUUUCACUUGUUGACAUAUUAAACAUCUCGAAACAAAGUCGGAGAUGUCCCGUUUCAUACCAUGCCACCAAAACCGUCGUUUCAAAUCGUUGUACAUUUUCGUACUCCCCGGGUGAAUUGACAUUCGGCUACAAUGAGCUUCGUUCAGAAUCAUCGAAAUGAGUUCUGAAUUUCUUGGAACACACAACCGACUUCUGAACCUCAAACAAUCGUCAUCAUCAAUUUGAAAUUCGGAUUCCAUAUUCGGAAUACAUUCAGCCCGUUUUGCAACCAAUUCAUCGUCGACUUUCUGAGCUUCACGAAUUUGAUGAAUCAAUGAUGGUUUGGCCUUUAAUUCAGCUACUAACACAUUGUCGGGUAGAAUAGACAAGUGCACAUUCAUCGCUCGUAAAGCAAACAGCGAUUUUCGGCUUAAGGCGUCCGCAACCACAUUAGCCUUUCCCGGGUGGUAAUCAAUGACAAGCUCGUAAUCUUUGAACAACUCAAGCCAACGUCUUUGUCGCAGAUUUAAGUCUCUUUGAGUCAUCAAAUAUUUGAGACUUUUGUGAUCCGAAAAUACAUGGCACUUUUCACCAAACAAGUAAUGUCGCCAUAUUUUCAAAGCGAAUACGAUGGCGGCUAGUUCGAGAUCAUGGGUUGGAUAAUUUCUCUCGUGUGGCUUCAAUUGUCUCGACGCAUAGGCCACAACUCGGCCUUCUUGCAUCAAUACGCAACCCAACCCGAGUAGGGAUACGUCACUAUAAAUGACAAAUUCUUUGCCUGAUUCGGGUUGCACUAAAAUUGGAGUUUCAGUUAAAUGAGUUUUCAGUUGAUCGAAGCCUUUCUGACAUUUCUCCGUCCAUUCGAACUUAGCAUCCUUUUGAAGUAGCUUCGUCAUUGGUGUGGCUAUCAUCGAGAAACCUUUGACAAAUCGUCGGUAAUAACCGGCGAGUCCCAAAAAGCUCCGAACCUCAGUAAUAUUUCUCGGAGGUUUCCAGUUAAGUAUGGCUGAGAUUUUGUUCGGGUCAACUCGAAUACCCGAUGCGGAUACCACAUGACCCAAGAAGCUAACCUCUCUUAACCAGAACUCACACUUACUGAACUUAGCAUAUAACUUCUUAUCCCGCAAAACUUGCAACACUAAUCUCAAGUGUUCAGCAUGUUCGAUCUCAUCUCUUGAAUAGACCAAGAUGUCAUCAAUGAACACAACUACGAACCGAUCCAAAUAUGGUCUGAAGAUUCGAUUCAUCAAAUCCAUAAAUACCGCAGGGGCAUUAGUGAGCCCAAACGGCAUCACUAAGAACUCGUAGUGACCGUACCUCAUUCUGAAAGCAGUUUUGGGUAUGUCCGAAUCUCGAAUUCGCAACUGAUAAUAGCCCGAUCUCAAAUCUAUUUUUGAGAACACUGAGGCUCCCUUCAGUUGGUCGAACAAAUCAUCGAUGCGCGGAAACGGAUAUUUGUUCUUUAUCGUCACUUUAUUCAGUUGACGAUAGUCAAUGCACAACCUCAUGGUUCCGUCCUUCUUUUUCACGAACAAUACUGGUGCACCCCAAGGUGAGAAACUUGGUCGAGCAAAACCUCUAUCCGUCAAUUCUUGCAACUGAGAUUUUAACUCUUUUAACUCGGUUGGUGCCAUACGAUACGGAGCUAUCGAAAUCGGCGUAGUCCCAGGUACAAGCUCAAUACCAAACUCUACCUCCCGAACAGGUGGUAAACCCGGUAAUUCUUCAGGAAAAACAUCCGGGUAUUCACAAACCACCGGCACAAAUUCGGGUUUCUUUUCUGACUCUUUGUCAUCAAGUACAUACGCAAGGUAUGCUUCACACCCUUUUCUUACAUAUUUCUGGGCCAACAUUGCUGAUAUUACAGCUGGCAACCCUCUUAAGUCCGUAGACUCAAUUCGAAUUAUCUCGUUAUUUGCUCACCUCAAAUCAAAAGUCUUGCUUUUGCAAUUCACAACCGCAUCAUGCGCGGUCAACCAAUCCAAACCAAGAAUAACGUCAAAUUCGUCAAACGGCAAAAGCAUCAAAUCGGCCGGAAGACAGGAUUCUCGGAUUUUUAGAGGGCAUCUCUUACACACUUUAUCAACAAGUACGCAUUGACCCAAAGGGUUUGACACUCGAAUUACGAACUCAGUAGACUCAACAGGUAGAGUCUUACUGGAUGCUAAGGUUUCGCAUACAUAUGAAUGAGUAGAGCCAGGGUCAAUCAAUGCAAUCACAUUAGUAUCAAAGAGAGUGAAGGUACCAGUGAUGACGUCAGGGGAGGAUGCCUCCUCUCGUGCGCGAAUGGCAUAUGCUCUAGCAGGAGUACGGUUCUCGGCUCGAACAGCCGUAUCAGAGGUCCCUCUCUGACUACCACCCCUACCUCCUAAAAUUCUCGGUGGUCUACCUCUAGUUGUCACUCCACUAGGUCUUGCACCUUGAAUCUUAUUCUUCUCAUCAAGCUCCGUGCAAUCUCUAAUGAAGUGGUCCUUCGAACCGCAUCCGUAACAAGCCCUGUUAAUAGACUUACCCCAACAUUCACCUAUGUGUCGUCUUCCACAUUGGGGACAUUCAGGUUUCUCUAGACGAUUAUUGCCCACACUAGCUACCGAAGUAGCUCGGGAGUCCGUCGAUGGUCUUGCUCUGAUGGAAAUUCCCGCAGUCGUCCUCGACUUAUUAGUGUCCUCCCUGAACUUCUUUACGGCUGAGAACGGAGCUUUACCCGUCGAUCUUUUACGAUAGUCUCUAGCUUCAAAUUCAGCCUUCUUCUUCUCCUUUCCAAGUUCUUCCGCCUUGCAGGCUCGUUCGACUAGUGUUACGAAUUCUUUUAUUUCCAAAAUACCCAUUAGUAGCUUUAAAUCUUCAUUCAAUCCUUCUUCGAAUCUUUUGCACAUAGCAACCUCAUCAGCUACACACUCCCGGGCAUACCUACUGAGUCUUACGAAUUCAUGUUCGUAUUCAGAUACUGUCAUACGGCCUUGCUUGAGUUCCAAGAAUUCCUUACGCUUUUGAUCAAUGAACCGUUGACUAAUAUAUUUCUUUCGAAAUUCCGUCUGAAAGAAGUCCCAAGUUACUCGUUCGUUUGGGACUAUGGAAAUCAGGGUCCUCCACCAAUAGUAGGCUGAGUCCCGCAACAAGGAUAUAACACACUUUAGACAUUCAUCGGGUGUGCAUGACAGUUCAUCAAACACCCGAAUGGUGUUAUCAAGCCAGAACUCGGCCCUUUCAGCAUCAUCAGUAACUAUGGCCCUGAACUCCUCAGCCCCGCGCUUCCUAAUCAAGUCUACAGGUGGCUUACUCAGCCUCACAGGAUCAGUAACUGAUGGCAUUAUUGGCUUCGGGGGUAGAUUAUUCAAAUUCGGGAAUUGUUGGACAGCCGGAUUGGUUCGGGCAUACUGCGCGACCCACUCAUUCAUCAUGGUAAAGAAGGCUUGUUUAGCCCCCUCACCUUGAUUAUUCGCAGAUGACUGAGGUUCAACAAGCGGUGUCCCUUGUGCAGGAGCAGCCGCUACACUUUCAAUGUCAUCCGCCAAGGUUCUCUCUACACCGGGAUCCAUUUACUAAUCAAAACAUAAAUUUUAACCGUCAGAAGUCAUCACACAGUUAAACAUUAACAUUCGGCAUGUAUAGCUAGACUCAUACGUGCUAUGGUAGUCCUAGAACCGACUAAACCAUAGCUCUGAUACCAAUCAAAUGUAACACCCCGAACCCGAGACCGACACCGGAGUCGAACACGAGAUGUUAAUAGACUUUAAACCCUUUAUAAAAAUAUUUCUCAGACACUGCCAAUCUCCGUACUAGUCGUUUUAAAAAUCAUAUCUUGAGUUUCACAACUCAAAAAUCAGUUUCGUGAUUUUUCCCUGAAACUAGACUCAUAUGCCCAUCUACAUAUUUUUUUCUAGAAUUUUUGGUCAGGCCAAUUAGUACAUUUUAUUAGUCAAAUUCUCCCAUGUUACAGGGAUCGACUACACUGACCUUUGCGCAUUACGACCUGGAUAUCUCCCUGCACAGAGCUUCAAUACUGAUGCCGUUUGUUUCUAUAGAAACUAGACUCAGAGAGGAAUCUAUCCAUAUAUUUUAUGACUCCUAAUUGUCUCUGGUUAAUUUAUAAUGAAUUUCCAAAGUCGGAACAGAGAAUCCAGAAACCGUUCUGGCCCUGUCUCACGAGAACCUGAAUGUCUCUUAACAUACUGUCCAUAUGAUCUUUUCGUUGCUUCUAUAUGAAAAUAGACUCAUCGAGCUUCGAAUACAUAAUUUAUUCAUCAAUUUAUUCCACUCCUACUAUUUUUAGUGAUUUUUCAAUCUCACGUCACUGCUGCUGCCAGCAUCUGUUACGAAAGCAACUAUGCCCAUUUCGUGAUUUCUCCUUGAUCUAACUAGUAAUUCGUCAUACAUAUCACAAAUUAUGAUCAUGACUAGCCAUGCCAAAGGCUAAUCAUUGUCAAACAUCCCCCUACUACACUAUUUCCAUAUCAUGAAUUUUAACACCAAAAUAAUCAACCAUGACAUAUGGCAUAAAAAGGUCGAAUUAUCAAGAUUUACGACCUAACGUUAUGAAACCAAACCCAACCGAACAUUUAUGCCAUUUUCGCAUGGCUAAAAGUUUACAUACCAAAGUUCAAACACAACAUAAUAGCCUAUACAUGCCGAAAUGUUCUCCUAAGCCGACUAAGAAGAAAGUACCAAAACUUGCUAGCAGGUGUGAUGACUUCGACGACGGCACGAUCACGCAAAAAGAGACAAGUCCAAGAAACCUAGAAUAGGUGACAAGCAAACACCGAAUGAGUAUAUAACUCAGUAAGCCAUAAGCAUUCCACAACCAUCCAUUAAUAAAAUUAUCACAACAGGAAACAAUGAAAUGAGGUUAAGUACUCCAUCCAUACCAAACUAUACCAUAGUUCCUUAAACCCUAUGGUUCAAUCUCAUACCAAGUCCUACAUUGGCCUUUCAUACAUCAUUUUAUUUUCGUUAUAAUCAUACAAUUAAACGAACUUUCACCUAUUCCACAAUGAACCUUAUGUACGUGACUUCAACUAUAAUCGUCACAUAGGUUCAAAACUUACCAAGCUCAACUCCAAAUAUAAACAUAGCGCCUAUUAGCCAUGAACUCAAGGUACUUACCUUUUCCGCUGUCCAAAAUUGACUCGGUAAAGUCGCACCCUUCAUGUAAAUAAUUUAUAGAAAAUAUAUAUUGGGUUCGCACACAUAGUGCUUAAUAAUCAACCGCGCACACUUAGUGCCAUGCACUUUAAACUCACACACUUAGUGCCAUGCAUUUCAAGUUCGCACACUUACCUUUUCCGCUGUCCAAAAUCGACUCGGUAAGGUCGCACCCUUAAUGUAAAUAAUUUAUAGAAAAUAUAUAUUGGGUUCGCACACAUAGUGCUUAAUAAUCAACCACGCACACUUAGUGCCAUGUACUUUAAACUCGCACACUUAGUGCUGUACAAUUUAAACCCGCACACUUAGUGCCAAUCUCAUGACCGUGAACACUUAUUGCCCGCACACUUAGUGCCGAAAACCAGCCACUCAAUAGGCUUCACUUCCUUUUUACAUUCGACAAAUUUCAUCUCUACUUACAUAUACAUUUGUAUACAUUUCAUCUCAUUAAACACAAUGGUAUAGGUAUUACGAUCCUUUAAAUCAAUACCAAAGAUAUGCUUAAUGACUUACUUGUGUUGGGUAAGAUGGUUCCAACUCGGCUACUCGAUGAUCUUUUCUUUGCCUUUGCUCGAUUCUCCUCCUUUAACUCCUUGAGCUUAAUCAAUAAAUCAACUAGUUUAACCGCCUUGCUAAAUAUUUACAAUCCAAUGACACAUGCAUAUGUAUGUUAGUAUAUUCGGCAAUCACCCUUACUAAUCACCCACUUGAUCAAUUAUGGAGAAUAAAAGUUAAUAUCACAAUGUGUACCCAAUAUGGCCCAUUAUACAUAAUCAAAUUUAACAUCAUCUAUAUAUUUACUCAUAUGGCCGAAUAUACCUAAUCAUACAUACACCUAAGCAAAAAUAAUUUCUAAAAUCUUUAUAUCAUUUAUACACUAGUAAAGCAUCCUCUCCCUUUCCAUCAAUUUAGCACAUGCAUUACUCAUUAACCUACAAAAAUUAUAUUCGGCCUUAGCACACAACUUGCUAGCCGAUUCUUCCCCAUCUAGCAACCAAUGCACAUAUGUGCUCACUCAAAAAUGCUAAAAAAAAAGAGAUUCAAGAAUCAUCAAUCCACCAUCACAUGCAUCAUUAGCAAGCUUCAUAUUUAGCAUGCAAUGGCAUUAACACAAACUCCACCUAGGCCGAAUCUUAACUCAUCUUCAUGCCUCAUCACCACAACAUCAAACAUCAAAAUACCAACCAAGAAUGUAACAUGCAUGGCCGAAUAUCAUCUCCAUCAUUUAACAAAGUUUGAACCAUGGCUAGGUAGCUUUCAAACUUACAACUUAAAAUAUACAUGAAUCUCAAAGAAUAAUAUCAAACAUACCUCAAUCUAGUUACAUGCAUGGCCAAACUUCCUCUUAAUUCUCUUCCAAACCAAACAUGAAGCAAGAACUCCUUCCUCCUCCCUUAGAAUUUUCGGUCAAAAGAGGAUGAAAAAGGAUGAACAAGUUUUUUCUUUUCCUUUCUUUAGCUCACGGCAAUGGGGGGGGGGAAACAACCACUCAUUUUUUUGUUUUUCCUUUCUUUAUUACCCAUACUCCUUAUUUUAUUUUUUUCCUACAUACCUCACUAGGCCAACAUGUUCCCAACAUGUUUCCACCCAUAGCAUGGCCAACCACUAGCUCAAAUUUUGGGUAAUUUGACAUGCAAACCCAUCAUUUUCACAACAUGCAUUAAUAGACCGUUUUAAAUUAGCCUAUCAUAUUUUCACCAUGUCUCAUAUCGAUCCCUAUUUAAUAAUUUCUCAUACAAUUGGCAAAAUUGGAGAAUGAAACUUCCACAUACUCAUGUACACACAUAAUAAGCAUAGAAUAUGGAAAUUAAUUAUUUUUAUGACUCGGUUUUGUGGUCCCGAAACCACUUCCCGACUAGGGUCAAUUUUGGGCUGUUACAAGGGAUGAUGGUGAUUUCCCUAGCUAUAUUCUGAUAUAUCACUGACGGUUCAGAGUUCACCACCAUUUCUGUAUUGUAUUUUAGCAAAACAAUCUGGUUUCUGAUAUCUGUAGUGUAGUGAAGUUUGAAGUGAAGAUGGCCCUUUUUUUAUAUUGAAGCUCGUUGAAUCUUGACCAUUGAUUUAUGAUUAUUACACUUAAUCAUAUCCGUUAAAAAAUGGGAAACUUAAUUAAUGCUAGCAUUUAUAAAAACUCCUUAUAUGGCAUUAUGCAUAUCCACCACCUACCACUUUAGAUUAUUAUUUAGUGUUAGUGAAAUAGAAGUUUAUGUUUAUCUUUACUAAUACAAAAAAAAUAUAACCGAGAUUGGUGCAUGAGUUAAUCGUAGACAAUAAAAUUAUGGAAUUAUAGUAGAUUUUUUAGAAAAUCGUAGAAAUCAGAGUAUUUUAUACUAAAUAGAACAUAAAUCAGAGUUUUCAUAUACAACCUAUGACACUACUUUAGGAAACUCUAAGUUAGGAAAGAUACUAAAUAGGAGAUAUGAUCCCUUAAAAUAAGGGAUUUUAAUAAAAAAAAAUAUCUACAAAAUAUUCCUAAAAUAUUUACAGAAUAUUCCUACACUCCCCCUCAAGCUGGAGAAUAUACAUUGUAUAAUCCCAGCUUGAAUAGGAAUUUAUUGAACACAGGUUUUGGCAAAGCCUUCGUAAGAAUGUCUGCAAUCUGUCCUUCUGAAGGAAUGUAAGAAAGAGUGGCUGUCUUUUUGUUGACUUGAUCAGCAAUAAAAUGCCUAUCAAUUUCAACAUGCUUUGUUCGGUCAUGUUGAACUGGGUUCUUGGCAAUCUAAAUGGCUGAUUGAUUAUCACACAAAACUUCAAAGUGAUCCUCCUGAUUUGUGCCAAGUUCUUUUAGUAAUUUAAGUAGCCAAAUUCCUUCGCAUAUCCCCAAAGCUAGUGCUCUAAAUUCAGCUUCAACACUACUUCUUGAAACAACAGAUUGUUUCUUACUUCUCCAAGUUGUAAGGUUACCCCAAACAAAAGUGCAGUACCCACUAGUGGAUCUUUUUUUAGUGAGAUCUCCAGCCCAACUAGAGUCUGUAAAAAUCUUAACAGUUCUGUCUUGUGUCUUCUUAAACAUUAAGCCGUGUCCUAGAGUUUUCUUUAAGUACUUGAGAAUUCUAUUUGCUGCUGCCAUAUGCUCUUCAGUAGGAUUAGUCAUGUGUUGACUUAUCACAUUUACGGGAAAAGCUAUAUCUGGCCUUGUUAAGGAUAAGUAGAUUAGUUUCUCAACUAACCUUUGAAAUUUCUCUCUGUCUACUAAGGACUCAUCUUCUUUAUUAAAUCUCAAGUUUGCCUCUAUUGGUGUAUCAGCCGGCUUACAGCCAAGAAAACCAGUUUCUUUGAGUAAAUCAAGUAAUACUUUCUCUGGUUGAUCACAAGUUCUUCUUUUGAUCUUGCCACCUCCAUUCCUAGGAAAUACCUUAGCUUUCCCAAGUCCUUGGUUUCGAAUUCCCUGUUUAACAACUUCUUCAAACUGCUAAUCUCUUCCUCAUCAUCUCUAGUAAGAAUGAUGUCAUCCACAUACAUAAUUAGGAUAGCUUUCUUAUUUGUAGAAGUUACCUUGAUGAAAAGCGUAUGAUCGGUAAGGGAUUGCUUGUAGCCAUUUUGAAGAAUGACUUUAGUGAACCUCUCGAACCAAGCUCUGGGUGAUUGUUUUAACCCGUAUAGAGACUUGUUGAGCUUGCAAACCUUGUUGCUACCUUCAAUAGACUUUGAGCCAGGUGGCAAUUGCAUAUAGACUUCUUCCUCAAGCUUGCCAUUAAGAAAUGCAUUUUUACAUCAAGUUGGUGUAAUUUCCAAUCGCAAUUUACAGCCAAACUUAGGAGUACUCGAAUAGUGUUAAGCUUUGCCACAGGUGAAAAAGUUUCUGUGAAGUCUAUCCCAUAUGUUUGCGUGAAACCUCUAGCCACUAGUCUAGCUUUGUAUCGUUGGAUACUGCCAUUGGAGUUAUACUUUACAGCAAAGAUCCAUUUACAGCCGACAGCCUUUUUCCUUGAGGAAGGUCUGUAAUGGUCCAAGUAGCAUUUUUCUCUAGUGCACAAAUUUCCUCUUCAACAGCCCUUCUCCAUUUUGGAUACUUUAGAGCUUCAGCUAUGCUUGUGGGAACCUGUUCUUUAUCCAAAGUUGCUGUAAAUGCUUGAAAAGACGGCAUCAAUGAAUUAUAACCAGUAAAUUUUUCAAUAGGAUGCUUAGUGCACUGUCUAACCCCUUUUCUAAUAGCAAUAGGAAAUUCAUCUAUAGUAGUGGACUUACUGAUUUCUUCUUCCAUUUCGGCAGCUGGACCCAAAUCCAAAUCAGAUUGCAAAAUAGUCUCAGGGAUAUGUCUUCUUUUUCUUGUGUAGACACGAAGCUGUUUGGGUGGUGGUGUUUUUUGAAGACUGUCAAUUAGAGUAGGUGUAUUUUCAGGAAGAGUGUUUAAAGUGGGUGUAGGUGAAUUAGUCAUAGGUACUACAGGAGAAUUGGGAGCAUUCACAGGUGACAGAUCUGCAGGUAAUGGCGAACAAGAUGGCAGUUCUGAAGGUUGAGAAUGAAGAUUAGGAGGAGAUACCUGUUGUGGCUGAAAAUCACUCCAUGUUUCCCCCUGAAUUUCAGCCUGAGUGAAAUAGGAAUCCUGCUCAUAAAAUGUUAUAUCCAUAGUGGUGAAAAAUCGUUUAGAAGGAGGAUGAUAGCAUUUAUAACCCUUCUUAAGUGAAGAAUACCCAACCAAUACACAUUUUAAAGACUUAGGAUCUAACUUGGACUUAUUAGGAGCAAUAUUUUGGAUAAAAACAGUGCAGCCAAAAAUUUUAAGUGGCAGAAUGGAGGAGAUAGGCUUAAAAUGAGGAAAGUGCUGCAAAAAUAUAGAUUGAGGCGUUUGAAAUUUUAAAACCUUACUAGGCAUCCGGUUAAUUAAAUAUGUGGCAGUUAAUAAGGCUUCCCCCCAUAAAUAUUUAGGAACAUUAGUGGUAAAUAGAAGAGAACGAGUAACUUCAAGAAGGUGCCUAUUUUUUCUUUCGGCAAUGCCGUUUUGCUGUGGGGUUCCAACACAAGAACUAAUCUGAACUAUGCCCUUUUCCUUAAAAAAAUCACCUAAAGACCUAGCAAAAAAUUCACUGCCAUUAUCAGAUUUAAAGAGCUGGAUUUUAGACCCAAAUUGAGUGAGAACCAUGUUAUAAAAUUGCACAAAAACACUAGCAGUUUCAGAUUUAUCUUUCAGCAAAUAAGUCCAAGUUAUCCUACUAUGAUCAUCAAUAAAAGUGAUAAACCACUUACAAUUAUCAGCAUUCUUCACCCGAGAAGGGCCCCAAAUAUCACUAUGGAUCAAAGCAAAAGAGUAAGAAGGCUUGUAUGUAGAAGGAAAAUAAGAUGAUUUAGUAUGUUUGGCAAGAGAGCAAACUUUGCAAGGAAAAGAAUUAGGCCUUUUAUUAAUGAAUAGAUCAUGAAACAAUUUUGCAAGGUAUUGGAAACUAGGAUGGCCUAAACGAAAGUGCCAUAACAUAACAGUAUCAACUUUUCCUAAAGCGGUAAAUGACUUGGAGAUCUCGAUUUUAGGAGAGGUAGGGAGGAUGUAGAGACCAUUAUAUAAGCUGGCCUUACCAAUCAUCUUCUUCGAGUUCAGUGCCUGCAAAGUACAAUCACGAUCAUUAAAAAUUACAGAGCAGUGCAAGUCUGUGGACAAUUUACUAACAGAGAUGAGAUUGCACGCCAGAUUUGGUACAAAGAGAACAUUUUUAAGUGCAAUCUGUUUAUUGAGAAUAACAGUGCCAUGUCCCUCUAUUUUGCGCAAGGUACCAUCAGCCGUUUUGACAGCUUUACCAAAGGUAUAGAAAAAAUUGUGAAACAAUACCUUGUUACCAGUCAUAUGAUCCAUAGCACCAGAAUCGAAGAUCCAAUUAGGAGUCAACUGGGAGGAGAAAAAUGCAGUAGAAGAAAGGUUACCUUCUGGAUCUUUUAUGACCAGAUUACCCUCACAAGACCCUUGAAACUUUCCAAAUAGUUUUUGAAGUUCAGCAAUCUGUUCUUUAGUGAAACUAGUGACAGAGGUGGCAACAAGGCUUGAUUUAUUAUCUCGAGAGUGCUUGGACUUCCAGUCCUGAGGCUUACCAUGAAGCUUCCAACACUUCUUCUUAGAGUGGCCGGGCUUUUUGCAAUGAUCACACCAAGGUCUCCCCCGUUUGGAAGAGGGAGAUGAUUGAUGGGUCAGUAAGGCAGAUCUUUCAAAAGUGGAAUAUGGUUUAUCAGACAGCAUCACACACCUUCGGCUUUCUUCUUUCUUGACCAUAGAGAAAGCCUCUCGAAGGGAGGGAAGAGGAGAAAUAGCCAGGACCCUGCCGCGAACCUCGUCCAGGUCCUUAUUUAAGCCUUGGAGAAAUUGAAAAAGUCUUCGUUGAGUAACAAUUUACUGAUAAAGAGCAGCAUCUCUUGGAUCUAUCCAAUCAUAAUGUGCAUACAAAUUUAAUUGUUGCCAAAGAGCAGUAAGGGUAUUGUAGUAGAGAGUAACAUGCAUGGUUCCUUGUUUAAGGGUGGCUGCUUGAUCUUCAACAUGAUAUAAUUUAGCAAUGUUAUCCGUGCUAGAUUAGGUUUCGCGGACUGCACUCCAAAUUUCAGCGGCUGUGGUGUAAAGAAGAAAGUUUCUGCUUAUACUCGGGGUCACGGAAUUAAGGAGCCAAGUCAUAACCUGACCAUUGUCACUCAUCCACUUAGCAAAACCAGCAUCAGUCACAGUAGGCUUUUUGAUUUCACCAGUAACGUAGUCCAAUCUUUCUCUGCCCAAGAGAAAAAUCUUAACCAAUUGGGACCAUUCAAGAAAAUUGUUGCCAUUCAAUCGAUGGCAGGUGAUAGUCAGACUAGACGAAUCUGAUGAAGCAUCGGAACCAGAAAAAUUUUCUGGAUUUGAAGUAAUCUCCGAAGUAGGAGAAGGAGUUUCGGACAUGGUCUAGGUUGAAAAAGAAAUCGUAACCUAAGCUCUGAUACAAUGUAGAAAUCAGAGUAUUUUAUACUAAAUAGAACAUAAAUCAGAGUUUUUAUAUGCAACCUAUGACACUACUUUAGGAAACUCUAAGUUAGGAAAGAUACUAAAUAGGAGAUAUGAUCCCUUAAAAUAAGGGAUUUUAAUAAAAAAAAUAUCUACAAAAUAUUCCUAAAAUAUUUACAGAAUAUUCCUACAAAAAUACAACUUGAACUACAUGCAGGGAGGCUCAAGUGGUAUCAUACUUGCAAGUAGAUUGCCCAUAUAACUUAGGUUGGUGCUUCAAGCCUCCUCACACAUAAAUGAUUUCCAUAAUUAACGUUAGACACUAUAGCGGCACCUCUCCAGUGAGUUUUGCAGGUCAUAUCUCCGUCAACCGAGGUGCUUUCGACUCUAUGAAUCCACGCCUACAGCAGGCGUCUUAAAGCAGUCGGGCUCUCAGCAAAUUCAGAAGGAUAAAACUCCGCCAUGGGAAAAAUGCCUUACAUUGUUAGGGGUUCAAUUGUCUUAUUAACAAAAGAGAGAUUUGGAUGUUGGCCACAUCUUCUCUUUUACAUGCUAAUAUUGAAACCUUAUGGUAUGGUUUCGAAUUAGAUGAUUUCAAAUUUCUCAACUAGGAAGUUUAUUUCUAUAUUUGAUUUAAUAGAAUUUGUUGUUUUCAGGUAAAUUGUUAUUCUUUGAAUUCUGUUGGACCUACUAUGGAGAAUUUAAGCGGUCUAAGAAGAUCCCUUGCAGUUUACUUCACCUCUGCUCUUUCAAGUAACAACUCUUAAACUCAUUACAGUAUCUUAUAAAUUGUCGGUUGUGCAAAGCACCUGCUAUUGGUGCAUUAGGUGCAAUCUCUGGAUUAGUAAGUCAUCUCAAACUUAUUCGCAAAAUAAGAUUAAUGUUGCUAAGAACCUUUUCCAACUAAUGAUUGUCCGCUUUUAAAAUCUAGGUUUUUUUUUGCUUGGGAAAUUGAUUGUUUGCUUUUAUCGCCGGUCUUCUUCUCAUUUGACAAUCUCUUGGCUGUUUAAGUUGGUUUUGUUGCUGUGUUUGUCUUGAGACAGAGGUUUGAUCAGAGAUGCCAAAGAAGAUCUGCAGCAAAUGGCACAAGUUAUUUUCCCAAACACGGUAUGAUUCAAAGUUUUUGCAAUUCAAUGUUUGAGAUUUGGAGGAACCGUAAAAGACAUGUCAAUAAACCGGGCUCAUAUAUACCAAAUGCAACCCCUAUAGUUGAUGCCUUAGUAAGUCUAGAUUUAUCCAAGUUUCUGUUAUGUUACUGGUGUGAUAUAAUGACUACCCUGAAAAAAGUUGUAGUCUCUAUCGCCCUCAUGUGGACUUUUCUUAAUGCAUCAAUGCUUUUGCACAUGCAUUGCGCAUGUUAGUGGUAAUGAAUGUUUAUCAUGCAGGUUAUUAGGCUAAUGUCUAGAGGCAUUGAUAAUUGGGGACACACAAGUUUUAACUAUUACACGUGUGCUUGUAGUAUACCCCUAUUUAAAGUAACAGUUAUGUACUAUAAGAAUCACAAUACUUCUUCGUUGAUAUAGACAGUUACGGUUUUACUUCUGAGAUUGAUCAAAAUCUAAUCUUACAAUUUUAGCUAUGUGGCUUCUUGGAGGAGCAGUAGUGUCUUGGCUUAUAGGACCUGCAUGGAAGUACGAUUUGACUCAGUCAAAGAAAACUAGGUGCCGCUACAAGUUACUGGUUCUUCAAAGCACCCGCAGUUGGUACAUCAGGCGUAAUAAUUGGAUGAGUAAGUCAUCUCGAACUUAUUCGCAAAAUAAGAUUAAUGUUCAUAAGAACCUGUUCCAACUAAUGAUUGUCUGCCUAGAAAAUUUAGGACUUUGGUGAGGAAUAGCUUGCUCUGAGACAUACAAUAGAACCGGUCAACAGUAAGAGUUCAUAACUUAAAAUCUACAUUGACAACUCAAUUUCAAUGCUUAAUUGUGGAAUUAAUUUUCCCGUGAAGAAUUCAUUUUUCACCAAACAAACAUGAGAAAACAAUGAAAAUGUUUUUCUUAAAUUUUUUUACAAGUAAACAGACAGAGCCUUAAUUUCUAUUUAAAUUAUCUAUUUUUAUAAGGACUAGUCUCAUCCAACCCAGCUUAACUGAAAUUCUAUAGAUUGGCAUGGUGACAGCUUAGAAUUGCUUAUGCUUAUCUCAAGUUGUUUACUGCUCCAAGUCACAAACCAAAAAAUAACUCAUCAAAAUACAUUUGAACAACAAAACCUUAAAGUUCGCUAACUCUCUCUCGGAAAAAAUUGAACUUGAAAUCUUAAAAUUUUGAAUUUCGAAAUCUCUUCCUUGCCAUUAAACCAAAGAACCAAUGCCUCAUUGGCAAAUGAUUUAAAGUAUAUGAAAACUGAAUUCUAUUUUUUUUCUUCUGUUUCACCAACACUAAAGGAUAAUCCAAGGUUAAUGGUGGAUGGUGGAUAUGCAUACUGCCAUAUAAGGAUAUUUUAUAAAUGUUAGCAUUAAUUAGGUUUCCUUUUUUUUUCAACGGAUAUGAUGAAGUGUAAGAAACAUAAAUGAACGGUCAAGAUUUAACUAGCUUCAUUAUAACAAAAAGGGCCAUCUUCACUUCAAACAUCACUACACUACAGAUAUCAGAAAAUAGAUUGUUUUGGUAAAAUGCAAUACAAAAAUGGUGGUGAACUCUGAACGGCCAGUGAUGUAUCAGUAAAUAGGUAAGGAAAUCACCAUUUACCCUUCGAUUACUUUUUGGUAAAUCAUUGAUUCGAUUGGAAUUCACUUUUACCUUCUAAAGCCCCCUACUAUACUUUGCAUAUAGUAUAGUAUGUCUAGAAUCAAUUUACAUCAGAGCUUGUGUCACAAUUUUCAAUACUGACACUGGUUCAUCUAGGUUUCCGUUUUCUGUCAGUAAGGUAAAAAAGUGGUGGUCGGUCUGAGAAUAUUCUUGGGCUAUCACUGGCCAUAGAUUCGUACUUCCAUGCAGGUCCUAUAAGCCAAGACACUCUUGCUCCUCCAAGCAAGCCUCCUAGCUGAAAUUGCAAGUUAAGAUUUUAAGCAAUCUCGGUAGUAAAACUUUAAAUACAGGUAUACUACAAGUACACGUGUAAGAGGGACAGUAGUUAAGACUUACAUGAUCCCAAUCAUCAAUGCCACUUGACAUUAGUCUAAUAACCUGCAGGAUCCGCAUUCAUCUCCACUGAGCUCGGAAAAAAUAAGAGCAAAAGCAUUUGAUGCUACAAUUCCUUCUAGGUAAUCAUUGUAUCAAGCAGUAACAUAGCAGAAACUCUUUUUUUUUUAAUGCAUUUGAUAGGCUGUUUAGGGUUCCCAUACAUUGAGUAGCAAAAGCUUUGAAUCAUACCAUGUUUAGGAAAAUAACUUGUGCUAUGUGUUGCAGAUCUUCUUUGGCAUCUCUGAUCAUACCUCUAUGUCUCAUGACAAACACAGCAACAGAACCAACCUAGACAACCAAAAGAUUUACAAAAUGAGAAAAUUGAGGUUCUGGAAUAAAUAAAAGCCAAGUAUUUCAAGGCAUACAAAAAUUAGAUGGAAUAGCUUCAUACGAACAUUUAUCUUAUUCCGUGAAUAAGUUUGCGAGGACUUACCAAU
This 21173-nucleotide long non-coding RNA is filed under the name Gossypium barbadense (sea-island cotton). Its description in RNAcentral is "long non-coding RNA (GBAR_LNC000873)". The record is from RNAcentral. Lineage: Eukaryota; Viridiplantae; Streptophyta; Magnoliopsida; Malvales; Malvaceae.